GAUGAACGCUGGCGGCGUGCCUAAUACAUGCAAGUCGAGCGAACAGACGAGGAGCUUGCUCCUCUGACGUUAGCGGCGGACGGGUGAGUAACACGUGGAUAACCUACCUAUAAGACUGGGAUAACUUCGGGAAGCCGGAGCUAAUACCGGAUAAUAUAUUGAACCGCAUGGUUCAAUAGUGAAAGACGGUUUUGCUGUCACUUAUAGAUGGAUCCGCGCCGCAUUAGCUAGUUGGUAAGGUAACGGCUUACCAAGGCAACGAUGCGUAGCCGACCUGAGAGGGUGAUCGGCCACACUGGAACUGAGACACGGUCCAGACUCCUACGGGAGGCAGCAGUGGGGAAUCUUCCGCAAUGGGCGAAAGCCUGACGGAGCAACGCCGCGUGAGUGAUGAAGGUCUUCGGAUCGUAAAACUCUGUUAUUAGGGAAGAACAAAUGUGUAAGUAACUAUGCACGUCUUGACGGUACCUAAUCAGAAAGCCACGGCUAACUACGUG
RNAcentral lists this ribosomal RNA (497 nucleotides) under uncultured bacterium. Its description in RNAcentral is "partial 16S ribosomal RNA". It matches the Rfam family "Bacterial small subunit ribosomal RNA", at positions 28 to 507 of the family's 1533-position model. The record is from RNAcentral.